AGAAGAGUCCUUCACUGAACUUUUUAACUUGGACUUAGAAACCUGGGUUCUCUUGCUGCUUGUUGAGAUGGAAGUAUGAUAUUGGAAGAUGGGAAUUUUCUUGCUCAGGAACUGGACCUUCUAAACCAGAUUCGGUUGAUGACAACAUGGCGACAAGUGUCAGCUUUCAGCCUCAGUUUCCCCCGCUGAACCACCACGACGUGACUCCUAUUGAUUAAAGAAGUUUCCUGCAAUGACUACUAACAGCAGUACUUGUACUGAGUGAAACAUGGACUGCUUUAUUAUCUAGAAGAGCACUACCUACGUUAUAGUAAUGAAGGAUAUAAAUAUGCCCUACGUGACAGACGCUGUGUAUUGCUACCCAAGAUUGCUACCCGAAGGAAUAAAGUAUGAGGGGUAAUGUGCCCAGACUCAGGUGAUAUGAUUGGCUCAGUUUCAUCAUAAUCUAACAAUUUUGUUCCUUGGUUUACCAGCCUCCCUUGCAGCCAGGAAUAGUCACAAGAUCCAGUCCUGGCCAUGAUAUGUUCAGGGAAAUCUGCUGGUAGACUUUUAGGAUUUUUGUGUACCUGCUAAAAGGAAACAGACACAAGAGGUAUGGCCCCUUUCUUUAGCUUUCUGAUUUGAGUAAGGCAUUUUGUAGUUGACUGAAGCUUCAGAAGCAGUCUUGUGACCAUAAUACCCUAAUUCAACAACCACUGCUUUUCUUAAAUUGCUACAAUAGCCUUUGGAGAUUCCCUACUGCAACACUUUCUCUAUAAUUGUCCUGGGCUCUCACAUUAGGACUAUCAGUAGAAUUCAACCAGAGCUUUCUAACGCUUGUUUUUCUACAGGCAUUAGUACUUGAUUCCUUGAAUUUGUUGGAAAUGAAUGACGCACAUAACUAAUUCUGAUAUAAUGCAGGUUGUUUAAAAAAAAAAAUAAAAAACACCGUUGCUUCCUCACUGAGAAGUCAAUAACAUAUCCAGAAUACGGAACACUCUGGUUUCCUUUUCAUAUUAAACCAGGAAUAGAACUUUAUUGAGAAAGAAACAUCACAUAUUCUUAAAAUAUAUUUAUCUUUCUCACAGUCAGAUCUUGAGAGGGUCUGUAGCAGAACACUCAAAAAGUGAAUUCUCAGAUGAAUAUAUGCAGUCCAGUAUUUCUGAGAUGCUGGUUGAACUGAUCUAAAUGCUUUAAACAACCUAUUAUUUAUUAUAUUCCAGUUAUUUAAAUUCAUGAAAGAUGUUAACUAUAGCCAUGUUCCCUGCCCCAAAGAAUUAAUGCAUAGAC
Molecule: long non-coding RNA, 1269 nt
Organism: Physeter macrocephalus (sperm whale)
Lineage: Eukaryota; Metazoa; Chordata; Mammalia; Artiodactyla; Physeteridae
Exons: 4
Source: RefSeq, a predicted model, not a curated record